This 465-nucleotide ribosomal RNA is filed under the name uncultured bacterium. RNAcentral describes it as "partial 16S ribosomal RNA". It matches the Rfam family "Bacterial small subunit ribosomal RNA", at positions 338 to 795 of the family's 1533-position model. The record is from RNAcentral.
CCUACGGGUGGCAGCAGUAGGGAAUCUUCCACAAUGGGCGAAAGCCUGAUGGAGCAACGCCGCGUGGGUGAAGAAGGUCUUCGGAUCGUAAAACCCUGUUGUUAGAGAAGAAAGUGCGUGAGAGUAACUGUUCACGUUUCGACGGUAUCUAACCAGAAAGCCACGGCUAACUACGUGCCCGCAGCCGCGGUGAUACGUAGGUGGCAAGCGUUGUCCGGAUUUAUUGGGCGUAAAGGGAACGCAGGCGGUCUUUUAAGUCUGAUGGGAAAGCCUUCGGCUUAACCGGAGUAGUGCAUUGGAAACUGGGAGACUUGAGUGCAGAAGAGGCGAGUGGAACUCCAUGUGUAGCGGUGAAAUGCGUAGAUAUAUGGAAGAACACCAGUGGCGAAAGCGGCUCUCUGGUCUGUAACUGACGCUGAGGUUCGAAAGCGUGGGUAGCAAACAGGAUUAGAUACCCCAGUAGUC